RNAcentral lists this long non-coding RNA (235 nucleotides) under Bos taurus (domestic cattle). RNAcentral's name for it is "long non-coding RNA NONBTAT022228". The record is from RNAcentral. Lineage: Eukaryota; Metazoa; Chordata; Mammalia; Artiodactyla; Bovidae.
UACUCUGUAAUACUUUUAAUAGUUUAUACUUUAAAAACUUAUUUCCAGAUAAUUUCAGAGAAAUUACACUAACAAUAUACUGAUCAUGAAUGAGGCUACGCUCCAAAAUGACUUAUAACAAAUAUUUUUAAAGUGUCAUGCAAAACAAUUAUUUGACAAUAUAAAGAGUUUUCUCUGUGAAGUCUUGAACAUUUCCUUAGUUUUAUCUGAGAUACAGAGGCCCUCUUGUGGUGGC